ACUCUUACCUGGCAGAGGAGAUACCAUGAUCAUGAAGGUGGUUUUCCCAGGGUGAGGCUCAACCAUUGCACUGCGGGCGUGCCGACCCCUGCAAUUUCCCCAAAUGCGGGAAGCUUGACUGCAUAAUUUGUGGUAGUGGGGGACUGCAUUCAUGCUGAGAAACACUCUCC
Molecule: small nuclear RNA, 170 nt
Organism: Dermochelys coriacea (leatherback sea turtle)
Lineage: Eukaryota; Metazoa; Chordata; Testudines; Dermochelyidae
Product: U1 spliceosomal RNA
Exons: 1
Source: RefSeq, a predicted model, not a curated record